UCCUCCCUUCCUUCCCUCCCUCUCUCGUGGGCUCCUCAGCUGCUGAAUGGCCUCACGUGGCCCAGGAAACCCUUCUGGAGGCUUCUGAUUUGAUGACCAAGGAGCUGAAUGGAAGAGGGCUUUGUGGGUGCCACAAAGGUCUGUCUGCUCUGACGCUGGAUCCUUGGGAAUCCCGAGGACUCUGCUGCCUUCCAGCACACACGGAGGAUGGCUCAGGACAUGCUUCUGCCUCCCAAGAGCCUCCUUGUCUGUGACCAGCUGGAAGGAGAGAGCCAGGUCAGAACUCUGGCCCCCCGGGAGUGAGCCUGCUGCUGGCCUGCUGGGAUGUGUCUUAGUGCAGCCCUCCCCAGCGAUGUCGCUGACCUGGGCCGAGGCACCCAGUCUUUACUCUGGCUGUCGGGAGAACCUUUCCUUCACUGCCAGCCCCAGGGCUCUGAACAGUGGCUAAGCUUCUCAGGGCUGGCUCUUCAGAGAUGCGCUGCGCCUUCAGGAGGACUGUAGAA
This 503-nucleotide long non-coding RNA is filed under the name Vombatus ursinus (common wombat). RNAcentral's name for it is "lncRNA (ENSVURG00010020216.1)". Lineage: Eukaryota; Metazoa; Chordata; Mammalia; Diprotodontia; Vombatidae. The record is from RNAcentral.